Molecule: small nucleolar RNA, 128 nt
Filed under: Jaculus jaculus (lesser Egyptian jerboa)
Lineage: Eukaryota; Metazoa; Chordata; Mammalia; Rodentia; Dipodidae
Description: Small nucleolar RNA SNORA70 (ENSJJAG00000000972.1)
Rfam family: Small nucleolar RNA SNORA70
About the family: snoRNA U70 seems to be exclusive to mammals and is a member of the H/ACA class of snoRNA which contain H (ANANNA) and ACA box motifs.
Source: RNAcentral
CUCAAAUAAAUUAAAUCAAAUUAAAAACAAUAGGUGGCCGGUGUGCACUGGCUACAGCAGCAGCCUCCUUGGUCGUGGGCAUAACCGGUUGUUUGUUUCGGGUGCCCUGAGGGACCUUGGGGACAGUU